Molecule: ribosomal RNA, 776 nt
Filed under: uncultured Neocallimastigales
Lineage: Eukaryota; Fungi; Neocallimastigomycota; Neocallimastigomycetes; Neocallimastigales
Description: partial large subunit ribosomal RNA
Rfam family: Eukaryotic large subunit ribosomal RNA
Source: RNAcentral
AGAGAGAGACAUGCGCGCAUAUCAAUAAGCGGAGGAAAAGAAACUAACAAGGAUUCCCUUAGUAACGGCGAGUGAAGCGGGAAGAGCUCAAAUUUGAAAUCUUCAAGGUUGUACCUUGACGAAUUGUAGUUUAAAGAAGUGUUUUCUGCUGAAGUUUUGGUAAAAGUUCUUUGGAAUAGGACAUCAUAGAGGGUGAGAAUCCCGUAUUUGACCAUUAUUUUCAGCUUUGUGAUACACUUUCAAAGAGUCGGAUUGUUUGGGAAUGCAGUCCAAAAUGGGUGGUAAAUUUCAUCUAAAGCUAAAUAUUGGCGAGAGACCGAUAGCGAACAAGUACCGUGAGGGAAAGAUGAAAAGAACUUUGAAAAGAGAGUUAAACAGUACGUGAAAUUGUCAAAAGGGAAGCGUUUGACACCAGUGUUGUUUUCUCGAAAAUCAAUUAAAAAUGGCUCGAUUUUGUAUUGCUUGAGACCUUAAAAGCUCACUGUACAUUUUUCGUGUCUUUUUUAAUGCACUUUUCGUUUAACAAGUCAACAUCAGUUUCUUUUGUUGUAAAAGGGUCAUUGGAAGGUGGCUUUCUUUUCGGAGAAAGUGUUUAUAGCCUUUGGCCUCUGCAAUCGGAAGAGACUGAGGUCUGCAGCGUAGACUCUUCGGGGUUAGAUACAUUUGUGCUAAGUUAUAGCUUUUUAUAGACAACUUGUUGACUAUAAUUAGUCUUGUAGCUUACUCGCCUAUACUAUUUUACCUACGCUUAGGAUGUUGAGUCGUAGAGCACGCAG